UGAACACAUGGCCGCCGGUGCCGCUCUCCUCCUUGAGGUGCUUUAAUGUCCCAGAUGCAGUUUCAGGCCCUGGUUACAGCAACAAGCAAAACAGACCACCAAAGUCCUGGUUCUCACAGUCCUUUCCUCUUAAUGGAAGGAGAGAGGCCCUAGACAAUUGCAGCAGGAAAAUAGCUGCAUGUCGGACACUGGGGCGAAGCAGAUGGAAAACCAGAAGGAAUGAGGUCAGAUGGAAUGAGAUGGC
Molecule: long non-coding RNA, 244 nt
Organism: Artibeus jamaicensis (Jamaican fruit-eating bat)
Lineage: Eukaryota; Metazoa; Chordata; Mammalia; Chiroptera; Phyllostomidae
Exons: 3
Source: RefSeq, a predicted model, not a curated record